GGAGAAGGCGCUGAAGCACCUGGAAAUGCACAGCACUGAGAUGCAGCAUGCUUUUACCGCCAGAGUCAGAUGGAUGUUUGUGACUUUGCUGCAGGAAGUGCCUGCCCAGUCCCUGCAGGAUGCACGCAGGGAGGAAGAACCUCCGUUACAGGUUCACCCAAUAGUUUGCCCGAAAAUAGAGCAUGAGCAGCUGUUGGGCCCCAAGGGUGGGCCAGAGACCCCCUACUGUGGUGGAGCACACUUCCUAUGUUGUCUGUGCCCCUGCUAAGUUGUAGGAGUUAAGCAAGUAAUGUUGGCACUCUUGUACAGACUUGGUGCAAGUCAUUUGGGAGAAGGAUGUUGCUGCGCAACCUGGUCCUGCCAGAGUGUUCCAGUUCAAAUAGUACCUGCUGCAGUUGGUGGAAGUAUAAAGCCUUUUCUGUUUGAUAAGAGAACUGGCCAAGGUGCCCGGCUUGGUAGGGGAUACCAGACAACCAAAGGCCAUAUAUGGACUUGGCAAUCCACUGGUCCCUGGACCCGGAUAAGUUUCCAGGGAAGGCUGCAUAGACAGCUAUGAAAGCUGGUCAGUGAAAGUGAAACCUGUGUCUUUGCACCUGGGCAUCAGCUGCUUGGCUCUCCACUUAUGCACUGUGUAUGUCUCUUGCAUGCCUGAGGACAUUCUUGGGGGUGGAUGUUUUGCAAGACUUGGCAGCUGUGCCACCUCUCAUGGACUUGAUGGACCGUUUGACAACAGAACUGGGAUGGUGCCACUGUGUGGUGGACUUGACCAAUGCAUUCUUCUCAAUCAGCAUUGCUCCAGAGAGCCAGGAACAGUUUGCCUUCAUGGGAGGGCGACAAUGGACUUUCAUAGUGUUGCUGCAGGGCUAUAUGUAUAGCCCCAUUAUAUAUCAUUUUCUUAUUAAUGAUGUUAUGUUAACCUCUAGUUCUUUUGCUGGUUUGGAAGCCACAACACCCCUCUUGCCUGGGAUUGGGAUGAUGAGGCUGAAACAGCCCUUCUGAUGACAUAAGCCCUCUGGGUAGUUAACCAGGGUGCCCAUUUAAACUAGAUGUGCAUGUAACCACAAAUAGAGUUGGCUAGGGCCUAUGGCAGUAUAUGGCGUGCUUGGAAGCGCCAGUCAGCUUUUAGUCCCAGCUAUGGAAGGGAGCUGAGCCCCAGUGUUCAUUAAUAAAGAAGCAGUUAGUAACCAUAUAUGCUGCCCUUCAGGUUCAUAAGAGCGUGGCUAGAUGGGUUACAGUCGUGUGGAUGGCUUACCCCAUAGUGGGAUGGGUGCGUUCAUGAGCAAUGACCCCCCCAGACUGGGACAGCACAGACAUCCACUUUAGCGAAGUGGGGCACCUACUUAGAGCAGUGGAGUACGCUAAGUAUAAGUCCCUUAGCAGCAGAGUUGCAAGAGGUCUUGGAACCUGUAGUCCUAAUGCAAGAUAAGGCCAUGGGGCCUGGGGCACCCCUAGACCCUGAGCCUUCACUGUUAGAAAGGGUGUUCUUCCAUUCCUAAUAGGACAUGGUACACAGCUAUGUCUAGUUGUGGUGCCACUGCUGCCUGGACUGCUGGUGCAGUCCAGCCUAGUACUGACACCAUAUGGUUUGAAACCAGGUGUAGACAGCGGGGCAGUCAGGAUUAUCAAUAUCACUGUUUUACAGCUUCACAUCUUAGCUGACUGGAAAGUCUUCCAGGAGCAGUAAUAUGCAUGGAGCUGUCAUCUCCUAUGAUAACAAUGCCUUCUUCUGGAAUACCUUCUGUAGGAUCUGCCUGAGGCUGUUUUACAGUUAACUUUUUUUUAAUAAGUAGAAGUACACUCUAAAAUAUUAAAUUGGUGCAAAAGUAAUUGCCGUUUUUGCCAUUGCAGUUACUUUUGCACCAACCUAAUAACAAUAAAAAGUAAGGUAAAUACACAAACCAGUGAUAUAGUACUUUCCUAUCAAGUAUUAUAUAGUGCUAUUUUUUUUUUUGAGACCGAGUCUCACUCUUUUGCCCAGGAUGCAGGCAGUGGCAUGAUCUUGGCUCACGACAACCUCUGCCUCUCGGAUUCAACCGAUUCUUGUGCCUCAGCCUCCCAAGUAGCUGGGAGUAUAGGUGUGAGCCACCACGCCUGGCUAAUUUUUGUAUGUGGUUUCAUCAUGUUGGCCAGGCUGGUCUUGAACUCCUGACUUCAGGUGAUCCACCCGCCUUGGCCUCCCAAAGUGCUGGGAUUACAAGCGUGAGCCACCACACUAGGCCUUUAGUGCUAUACUUUUAUAUGACUGGCAGUGCAGUAAGUUUGUUUACACCAGUAUCACCACAAACAUAUAAUUGUGCUAUGAUGUCACUAGUUAAUAGGCAUUUUCCAGCUCCAUUAUAAUCUUAUGUGAUCACUGUCAUUUCUGCAGUCCAUUAUUGACCAAAAUGUCCUUGUGUGGUUCAUAACUGUACUCAAAUAUCUACAAAGAGCGUUUCUUCUGGUACCCAGUAAAUAUUUCAUUACUUAAUAUACUCUACCCCCUGCUCCUGCGAACCUCACUCCAUCCUAAGAACAAUCUUCGCAUCUGCCUUUCUGGACUUUCUGCUAUGAACUAAAUAUUUAUUCACCAGAGAAACUGCUGUGUACUAGGUGUUAUGAAAUAUAAAUUUUUUUAUAUCAAAGACAUUGUAUAAUUACAUGAAGACCAAUGGAGUAAUUCAUCUUAAUUCUAAGUAUUAGAAAAGCUUUGUUUUCCUUGAAGAAUGGACAUAUUUUUUUCCUUCUAAAACAAUGUAAGCAAAUGACCUUCUCAUUUUGGUUGCCAGAAUGCUCAGUUUGUGUCCCUAACUGACUGCCUGUGUAAGUUAUCAUAACUUGUCCUGAUCUCCUAGUGCUCAUUUGUAUGUGUUUUUUGUUUUCUAUUUUACUGUAUCUUGUUCGCCAUCUUGAGUCAUUUUUUUACACACAAUGGAGUUAUAAUAAAAUAGCUAUUGCCUAUUAUGAUAAAA
Molecule: long non-coding RNA, 2948 nt
Filed under: Pan troglodytes (chimpanzee)
Lineage: Eukaryota; Metazoa; Chordata; Mammalia; Primates; Hominidae
Description: lincRNA
Source: RNAcentral